AGUGAACGCUGGCGGUAGGCCUAACACAUGCAAGUCGAACGGCAGCACAGUAAGAGCUUGCUCUUACGGGUGGCGAGUGGCGGACGGGUGAGGAAUACAUCGGAAUCUACUUUUUCGUGGGGGAUAACGUAGGGAAACUUACGCUAAUACCGCAUACGACCUACGGGUGAAAGCAGGGGAUCUUUGGACCUUGCGCGAUUGAAUGAGCCGAUGUCGGAUUAGCUAGUUGGCGGGGUAAAGGCCCACCAAGGCGACGAUCCGUAGCUGGUCUGAGAGGAUGAUCAGCCACACUGGAACUGCGACACGGUCCAGACUACUACGGGAGGCAGCAGUGGGGAAUAUUAGACAGUGGGCGCAAGCCUGAUCCAGCCAUACCGAGUGGGUGAAGAAGGCCUUCGGUUUGUGAAGACGUUUUGUUGGGAAAGAAAAGCAGCAGGUUAAUACGCCGCUGUUCUGACGGUACCCAAAGAAGAAGCACCGGCUAACUUCGUG
Molecule: ribosomal RNA, 492 nt
Filed under: uncultured bacterium
Lineage: Bacteria
Description: partial 16S ribosomal RNA
Rfam family: Bacterial small subunit ribosomal RNA
Source: RNAcentral